Molecule: long non-coding RNA, 844 nt
Filed under: Lynx pardinus (Iberian lynx)
Lineage: Eukaryota; Metazoa; Chordata; Mammalia; Carnivora; Felidae
Source: RNAcentral
GGCGGCUCUGGCAUUCCCAGCAGACGGGACAGGUCCCAAGACUAUGACAGUCAGGAAGAAGCUGCGAAUGGAGUUGGAGUGAACGACUUUGUCGUAAAUCGAUUCUCUAAACGUCCAUCCAUCUAUAUAUGCAGGAGUUUACAAUCUUGAUGAAGAAAACGGUAUGGACUUUGGGAAUAUGAAUCUCAGAGCUGACAGCUUCAGUAGGGUAGGGCUUGUAGACAGCCUGCUGUUUACGGAUCUACCAUCAAGAGCAGAUGUGCACGUAUUCCGUGCUGUAUUUGAAAAUGAACCACGGUUACAACCGUGACAACUUUUCUGCAAUUGACAGAGGAAUAGAUGAUGUGUGCAGAAGGAUAGGGUUGACAAGUGUGUUAGUAACAACAAUAUAUGUGAUAAUUUGGGGGAACUGGAUUUAAUGUGCAUACAGUGCACCCAACGUAGCUUCAGUUACUGCUUCCUCUUCUGUGGGUUCUCUGGGGUUUCGUUGGAGUAGCUUUUUAAAAGCCAAAAAGAAACAGAAAACCCAGAUUGUACGAAAGUUUCACCACUAAAUAUCUCCUCUGACUCAUUACAAGUUUCUUUGCUCCUGAGAGUAAUGCAUGCAGUGAUCACCAAAGAAUUAACUUUGGCCGAUCCUUUUUUUUUUUUUUUUUAAUUCAUUGUAGAUUCUGAAGAGGUAAAAACUUCAGUGACAAGAGGUGAUAAAAAUACGGAGUUGAAAUUGCCCAACCGGAUCUAUCCAGUUUUGGAGAGCUAUCCUGGUGACUUACCAACAUUGACCAGCAACCUCCUGGUCCAUUAUUCCAGCUGACCGGUUAGCAUUUGAUGGGCUUUUGAGAUA